GCUCUCAACAUCAAUAUCUGCCACAACCCCAGAUUCCAACAUUUCAUUAUGCAAUUUCCAAACAAGAUCAGUCCUCCCGAAACUAGACAACCCAACAAAGCUGAAUUCCAAGCUUCAAGAACACAUCAAGUGAAUCCUGAUUCCUGAACCAUUCAACCAUCACAAAGACAACAUAUAUGGCGUUCUAAAAACCCUGCUCG
Molecule: unclassified non-coding RNA, 200 nt
Filed under: Hevea brasiliensis (rubber tree)
Lineage: Eukaryota; Viridiplantae; Streptophyta; Magnoliopsida; Malpighiales; Euphorbiaceae
Source: RNAcentral